RNAcentral lists this ribosomal RNA (423 nucleotides) under uncultured beta proteobacterium. Its description in RNAcentral is "bacterial SSU rRNA". It matches the Rfam family "Bacterial small subunit ribosomal RNA", at positions 954 to 1382 of the family's 1533-position model. Lineage: Bacteria; Pseudomonadati; Pseudomonadota; Betaproteobacteria. The record is from RNAcentral.
AUGCAACGCGAACAACCUUACCUACCCUGACAUGUCCGGAACCCUGCUGAAAGGCGGGGGUGCCCGAAAGGGAAUCGGAACACAGGUGCUGCAUGGCUGUCGUCAGCUCGUGUCGUGAGAUGUUGGGUUAAGUCCCGCAACGAGCGCAACCCUUGUCCUUAGUUGCUACGCAAGGGCACUCUAAGGAGACUGCCGGUGACAAACCGGAGGAAGGUGGGGAUGACGUCAAGUCCUCAUGGCCCUUAUGGGUAGGGCUUCACACGUCAUACAAUGGUCGGUACAGAGGGUAGCCAACCCGCGAGGGGGAGCCAAUCCCAGAAAGCCGAUCGUAGUCCGGAUCGCAGUCUGCAACUCGACUGCGUGAAGUCGGAAUCGCUAGUAAUCGCGGAUCAGCAUGUCGCGGUGAAUACGUUCCCGGGUCUU